Long non-coding RNA from Callorhinus ursinus (northern fur seal), 542 nucleotides. RefSeq lists it as uncharacterized. NCBI's taxonomy places the organism in Eukaryota, Metazoa, Chordata, Mammalia, Carnivora, Otariidae. The record is from RefSeq and is a predicted model, not a curated record.
ACUAUAAUGGCCCUUGACAGACAUGAAGAAACUUUUCACAUAUUCUCCAGAUGCUUCUCUUCACUAAACUAGACAUCCCUGGUUCUUCAUAUUGGUAUAAAGAAGCAGUGGGGCAGGGAAAACAAAACGGUGAAAGACAAUCCCUGCUUUGAAGGAACUCGAAGGGAGAGAUACACAAAGUAGCAGACAAUUGCAGGGCCAUUUGCCAUAGAGCUUAUAUUGGGGUCACCUGUUGGAAAGAACAGUGUUCUGGAAUCCUGGGAAAUGAGCUCUGCUGAGAAGUCACUGUGUGACCUUGGUCAAGUCACUGUGCUCUCUGAACUCUGCUCCGCUCUAACAAAGGGGCCAGACCAGGGAGUCCCUAAAGAAGAGUGUUGUGUAAGAAAGCACACCCUAGACCAGACAGACCUAGCUUGGAAUCUCAAUUCCUGUGGCCUGCCAGCAGAAUAAACUAGAUACAUCUCAGUUUCUCCAUCUAUAAAACAAGGUUAUUAGAUAUAACCUAGCUAACGUGGUUAUCCUGAAGCUUAAAUAAAAUAGAC